RNAcentral lists this ribosomal RNA (427 nucleotides) under Maiestas dorsalis. RNAcentral's name for it is "partial large subunit ribosomal RNA". The record is from RNAcentral. Lineage: Eukaryota; Metazoa; Arthropoda; Insecta; Hemiptera; Cicadellidae.
UUUUUCUAAAUGGCUGCAGUAUUUUGACUGUGCAAAGGUAGCAUAGUAAUUAGUUUCUUAAUUAGAAUCUGGUAUGAAUGGAUGAAUGAAAAAUGUAUUUUAUUAAUUUUAUUAUUAUAAUUUUAAUUUUAAGUAAAAAUGCUUAAUUGUAAUCCUGGGACGAUAAGACCCUAUAGAACUUUAUACUAAUAAAUUAUUUUAUAUAUUAAUUUUUUUAUUUUAUUAUAUAUUUUAGUAUUUUGCUGGGGUGGUAAAUAAAUAUUUAACUUUAUUUUAAAAAUUCAUUAAAUUAGUGUUUAUUAUGAUCUUUUAUAAGAAUAAUAAUAUUAAGUUACCUUAGGGAUAACAGCGUAAUUUUAAUGGAAAGUUCAUAUUUAUAUUAAUUUUUGCGACCUCGAUGUUGAAUUAAGAAAAAAUUAAGGGGUAG